GUCUUCUUGUUAUAUUUAGGAAGUCUGGCCUGCCCAGUGAAAAUUAAUUUAACGGCCGCGGUAUACUGACCGUGCAAAGGUAGCAUAAUCAUUAGUCUUUUAAUAGAGGGCUGGUAUGAAGGGUUUAACGAGGUGUUGACUGUCUCAUUUAAUUUGAAUAUUAGAAUUUAAUUUUUUAGUUAAAAAGCUAAAAUAUUAUUGGAAGACGAGAAGACCCUAUAGAGCUUUAUAUUUUUAUUAUUAAUUUAUUAUAGAUUAUUAUUAUUUAUUAUUAAUAAAAAGUAUUUUGUUGGGGUGACAAAAAUAUAUAAUCAACUUUUUUAUUUUAUUUACAUUGAUAUAUGAAUAUUAGAUCCAAUCUUAUUGAUUGUUAGAUUAAGUUACCUUAGGGAUAACAGCGUAAUCCCUCUCCAGAGUUCAUAUUUACAGAGGGGCUUGCGACCUCGAUGUUGGAUUAAGAUAAUAAUUAGGUGCAGCCGCUUAAUUAAUAGGUCUGUUCGACCUUUAAAUUCUU
This 514-nucleotide ribosomal RNA is filed under the name Planaeschna milnei. RNAcentral describes it as "partial 16S rRNA". It matches the Rfam family "Archaeal large subunit ribosomal RNA", at positions 1921 to 2666 of the family's 2987-position model. Lineage: Eukaryota; Metazoa; Arthropoda; Insecta; Odonata; Aeshnidae. The record is from RNAcentral.